AUACUUACCUGGCAGGAGAGAUGCCUUGAUCAUGAAGAUAGUUUUUCCAGGAUGAGGCUUAUCCGUUAUACUCUGCAUGGGUUGACUCCUGUGAUUUCCCAAAUGCGGGAAACUUGACUGCAUAAUUUAUGGUAGUAGUGGGGAACUGUGUGUGCACUUUCUUCUA
This is a small nuclear RNA of Vombatus ursinus (common wombat), 166 nucleotides long. Its record names the gene U1. It matches the Rfam family "U1 spliceosomal RNA". From Rfam's summary of the family: U1 is a small nuclear RNA (snRNA) component of the spliceosome (involved in pre-mRNA splicing). Its 5' end forms complementary base pairs with the 5' splice junction, thus defining the 5' donor site of an intron. The record is from Ensembl. Lineage: Eukaryota; Metazoa; Chordata; Mammalia; Diprotodontia; Vombatidae.